RNAcentral lists this long non-coding RNA (584 nucleotides) under Mus musculus (house mouse). RNAcentral's name for it is "myeloid RNA regulator of BCL2L11 induced cell death". Lineage: Eukaryota; Metazoa; Chordata; Mammalia; Rodentia; Muridae. The record is from RNAcentral.
AGUGAGGUGUGGCCUGUUGCUCAGGCUGGCCCCAACUCAGGUGGGGUGAGCAAAGUCGGGUUAUGAUUGCUCAGAUUCGACUCCCCAAGAACAGUCCUCAGGUGGGCCUCUCACUUCUCCCCUGAGAGUUUGGCAGCCUCCUACACAUUGCAACCAUAUGGGGCCAUCUGUGGUGGUAUCCUCACUGCUCACUGUGACUCAGAGCUGUGUCCUAGAGGCCUCUCAUUCUCUUGCAGCUUCAGGAAGGCCCUUCUUUCUACCUCCAGUUGUCUCUGGGUGGGAUUCUUGCGGGGGCAGGGAUCGAGUCAAACCUUGGAAAUGACGUCAUUCUGAACUCAUCUGCCUUUAUCCAGAAGACUACCAAAGCAAACCAGAGGACCAGAGAACAGCAGCUGCUCUGGACAAAGAGGGGAGGACACCCACACCCACAUACCAAGUUCUGGUUGACUUCUACAGCAGAAGAAGCAGGAGACACAAGAAGAUCACGAUGUGAGCUCUCAGUUGUCGCUGCUCUGCCUUUGCUCCAGUACCUCAGACUCCAGCACUCUCGAGCUGUAAGCCCAGAUAAAAGCCUUCUUCUACAA